This 537-nucleotide long non-coding RNA is filed under the name Physcomitrium patens. RNAcentral describes it as "long non-coding RNA (PPAT_LNC002317)". Lineage: Eukaryota; Viridiplantae; Streptophyta; Bryopsida; Funariales; Funariaceae. The record is from RNAcentral.
UGGUAAGUACAAUUAUUUUCAAAUUUUGUGUACUUACUGCCAACUUAGUUUUUUAAAGUUUUGUAAAUUUUUAAGCAAGAUAAAUAGUUCAAUUAAUAGAUAUUAAGGUUCUAAAUUGUCCUAAGAUUAGAUUGAUUAGGUUUAAGAUUUGGUUAAGAUUUGAUUUAGGAUUUAAGAUUUUAUGAGGGUUUGAUUUAGGAUUUAGGAUUUUUUUAGGAUUUAAUUUAGGAUCUAAGAUUUAAUUUAGGUUAUAAUUUAGAAUUUAGGAUUUAUCUAGAAUUUGAUUUAGGAUUUAGGAUUUUUUUAAGAUUUAAUUUAAGGUUUAGGAUUUGUCUAGGAUUUGAUUUAGGAUUUAAGAUUUGACUAGGAUUUGAUUUAGGGUUUGAUUUAGGAUUUAAGAUUUAUUUAGAAUUUGAUUUAAAGUUUGAUCUAGAAUGAAGGGGUUGAUUUACGGUUUGAUUUAGAGUUUAAAGUUUUUCUAGAAUUUUAUUUAAGAUUUGGUUUAGGAUUUAAAAAAAUUUCUAGGAUUUAAUUAAA